Long non-coding RNA from Notothenia coriiceps (black rockcod), 274 nucleotides. RefSeq lists it as uncharacterized. The transcript has 3 exons. Lineage: Eukaryota; Metazoa; Chordata; Actinopteri; Perciformes; Nototheniidae. The record is from RefSeq and is a predicted model, not a curated record.
GCAGCAAGUGACAGGUAAAAGAGGUGUUGUGGUGACCAGGUCGACUUACCCUUCCAGUGGAAAAUGGGCCGGACAUUGGCUUGGAGACAACUAUUCGAGCUGGGACCAGCUUUUCAAAUCUAUUAUAGGCAUGAUGGAGUUCAGUCUCUUUGGCAUCUCUUAUACCGGGGCAGACAUAUGUGGGUUCUUCAAUGACGGAGAGUAUGAGAUGUGUAUUCGCUGGAUGCAGCUGGGUGCCUUCUAUCCGUACUCACGCAACCACAACGGCAAGGGU